AGGCUUUGAUCCUGGCUCAGGAUGAACGCUGGCGGCGUGCUUAACACAUGCAAGUCGAACGAACCUUCGGGUUAGUGGCGGACGGGUGAGUAACGCGUGAGAAUCUGCCCUCAGGAGGGGGAUAACGGCCGGAAACGGCCGCUAAUACCCCAUAUGCCGAGAGGUGAAACGAAUUUCGCCUGAGGAUGAGCUCGCGUCUGAUUAGCUAGUUGGUGGGGUAAAGGCCUACCAAGGCGACGAUCAGUAGCUGGUCUGAGAGGAUGAUCAGCCACACUGGGACUGAGACACGGCCCAGACUCCUACGGGAGGCAGCAGUGGGGAAUUUUCCGCAAUGGGCGAAAGCCUGACGGAGCAACGCCGCGUGAGGGAUGAAGGCCUCUGGGCUGUAAACCUCUUUUCUCAAGGAAGAAGAUCUGACGGUACUGUGAAGGUAAUAAGCCACGGGUAUAUCCGU
Molecule: ribosomal RNA, 454 nt
Filed under: uncultured Synechococcus sp.
Lineage: Bacteria; Bacillati; Cyanobacteriota; Cyanophyceae; Synechococcales; Synechococcaceae
Description: bacterial SSU rRNA
Rfam family: Bacterial small subunit ribosomal RNA
Source: RNAcentral